This 375-nucleotide ribosomal RNA is filed under the name uncultured bacterium. RNAcentral's name for it is "bacterial SSU rRNA". It matches the Rfam family "Bacterial small subunit ribosomal RNA", at positions 521 to 896 of the family's 1533-position model. The record is from RNAcentral.
UAAGACGAACCGUGCGAACGUUGUUCGGAAUCACUGGGCUUAAAGGGCGCGUAGGCGGUCAAUCCAGUCGGGGGUGAAAUCUUGCAGCUUAACUGUAAAAGUGCCUUCGAUACUGAUUGACUCGAGGGAGGUAGGGGCAGGUGGAACUUCCAGUGGAGCGGUGAAAUGUGUUGAUAUUGGAAGGAACGCCGGUGGCGAAAGCGACCUGCUGGAUCUCUUCUGACGCUGAGGCGCGAAAGCUAGGGGAGCAAACGGGAUUAGAUACCCCGGUAGUCCUAGCCCUAAACGAUGAGUACUGAGUAGUGGACUUACAUGGGUUCACUGCUGAAGCAAAAGUGGUAAGUACUCCGCCUGGGGAGUAUGGUCGCAAGGCUG